Megalobrama amblycephala (Wuchang bream) is the source of this 579-nucleotide long non-coding RNA. RefSeq lists it as uncharacterized. NCBI's taxonomy places the organism in Eukaryota, Metazoa, Chordata, Actinopteri, Cypriniformes, Xenocyprididae. The record is from RefSeq and is a predicted model, not a curated record. The transcript is spliced from 2 exons.
AGUGAGAUGAUUUCUUAGGCCUAGCACAGACGAAUGAUAUAAUCAUCAUUAUCAUCAAACAUCGUCGUUAUCUGGAUACUCGCGGGAGUGGAGCAACUUUUCCAUUAACAAAAUUCUGAUGCUGACCCAGAGGAGGGAGUGGUAGCCCCAGAGAUCCACUGUUCCCAUCAGACAAGAAUCUUAUUUUGUUCAGACACAUCACCUUUGACUGACUGGGAUUUUGAUCUUCAGACACCUGAUAUUAUGCAAAUAUUUUAAUUUUUUUGGAGCUCUAGAUUAAAACAAGACACUGUUCACAAACACACAAGAGAGGUUGUACUUUAUUCUUAUUAGUCCAUACUGAUCUUGGAUUAGCAUACCAACAACAUAUGAAUGUUAAAGUGAUAGUUCACCCCAAAAAAAUUCUCAUAUAUUUUACUCACCCUCAUGCCGUCCAAGAUGCAUAUUACUUUCUUUCUACAGAUAAACAUGAAUUAGUAUUUUUAGGAAAAUAAUACAUGUCUUCGAGUCCUAAAGACACAGUAAUCCAUGCGACCCCAGUGGAUGAAUCAAUGUCUUCUGAAGUGAAACAAUAGAUGA